GACGAACGCUGGCGGCGUGCUUAACACAUGCAAGUCGAACGGAAAGGCCCUGCUUGCAGGGUACUCGAGUGGCGAACGGGUGAGUAACACGUGGGUGAUCUGCCCUGCACUUCGGGAUAAGCUUGGGAAACUGGGUCUAAUACCGGAUAGGAGCCAUCUUUAGUGUGGUGGUUGGAAAGUUUUUUCGGUGUAGGAUGAGCUCGCGGCCUAUCAGCUUGUUGGUGGGGUAAUGGCCUACCAAGGCGGCGACGGGUAGCCGGCCUGAGAGGGUGUACGGCCACAUUGGGACGGAGAUACGGCCCAGACUCCUACGGGAGGCAGCAGUGGGGAAUAUUGCACAAUGGGCGCAAGCCUGAUGCAGCGACGCCGCGUGGGGGAUGAAGGCCUUCGGGUUGUAAACUCCUUUCGCUAGGGACGAAGCUUUUUUGUGACGGUACCUAGAUAAGAAGCACCGGCUAACUACGUG
Molecule: ribosomal RNA, 466 nt
Filed under: uncultured bacterium
Lineage: Bacteria
Description: partial 16S ribosomal RNA
Rfam family: Bacterial small subunit ribosomal RNA
Source: RNAcentral